This 254-nucleotide unclassified non-coding RNA is filed under the name uncultured fungus. RNAcentral's name for it is "sequence contains ITS1". Lineage: Eukaryota; Fungi. The record is from RNAcentral.
GUGUUUUUGGUUUUUCGUUUUUUUUGCUCAGACGCAAUUGUGAAAAAAAUAAUUAACGUGCGUUUCGAAUGGAAAAAUUGAACAAGAGCCGCGGGCGGGGCGGGGAAAAGGCGGCCGGGCGCGCGCGCGCGAGCGCGCACACACGCCCAACCCAACCCCCCGGCCCCCCACCCGCAGGCCCCCACAACAGUGCACACGGUGUGGUGAAGGUAACAGGAUUGUUGAUGAUCCAUCAGCAGGUUCACCUACAGAUA